This 30-nucleotide non-coding RNA is filed under the name Mus musculus (house mouse). Lineage: Eukaryota; Metazoa; Chordata; Mammalia; Rodentia; Muridae. The record is from RNAcentral.
UAGUAAGUUCUGUGCUUAGUAGCUGGUGUU